RNAcentral lists this long non-coding RNA (1492 nucleotides) under Homo sapiens (human). Its description in RNAcentral is "long intergenic non-protein coding RNA 3007". The record is from RNAcentral. Lineage: Eukaryota; Metazoa; Chordata; Mammalia; Primates; Hominidae.
GAUCUGGGAAAGGUUGCGCCUCAUUGCAGAGUUGAAGCUAUCUGCCUGCUUUGUUUACACGAACGCCCUUCCAGGACUCUGUCUGCUUUUGGGGUGGAAGUGCCCUGCCAAAAACUCCAGCUCUCCAUGCUGGCUGUGUGGCCAGCAUACCUCCUGCCUUUUCAACGAUUCCUCUGCCCUGGAUAGAGAGCGGUGUCUCAUAACAGUUUGGAAACUACAAAAGUUUCCCUGGCAGGAUGAAUGAUUGACUCGGCAACAUGUUCUUGCCUUUUGGAGUUGCCCUCCAAUUUUUCCAGGCUUGAUUCUGUAAAUCAUUUCAUCUUGUAAAAAUACUGGGCUGUGAGCACGGAUGAUCUCAAAGAUGAGGAAACAGAAGCUGGGAUAUGUGAGUAAACAUUUCCAAGGUCCUGCAGCUAAUCAAUGGUUGACAACUUCUUUCCUCUGCCUAUGUUGCCAUCCAUGUCAUGGUUUGUGUCAAGACUCUAGGAGAAGUCUACCAUCAGCACCACAGCUACUGUGCACAAAUCCAGAAUGCCAGACUGAAGUCAGAAGGAAAGGACCUGGCUUUUAAAAAUGGUGAAGGGAAAUGUUCUUAUCACCCAUUCCUGUCAGAGAUGAUGCAGCUCAUUGCUGAUGCUGAGAUCCAACGUCCAGUGCCUGAGUACCCCUGGAUUCUGAGCACUAGGGGCUGGACUGUGGAGACCAUCAGUUCAUAACAUCCUGUCCCUGCUCCCUGCUGUAGAUGACUGAGACCAGGAAAAAAAGCAUCUCUCUGAAGUUAAAUGGCAUUUCAUUUUGAUUAAUUGUAGAAAGAAGAUUGGAAAAAUCUCCCAUGACCAAGGAAAAUUGUGAAAAAUAUUUCUGAUAUUUUGUCUAUGCAUUUUAUUUUUGAGGGUGUUUUUUAUAUUAGUGUGACUAUUUUGUAUUUCCUACCCUGUUGUAAACUUUUUAAAAAUUGCUCUUACAGUUAUUACUAAGUAUAUGAUUUAAAAUCCCUAAUUAGGGUUCUUAAACAAGGGAGAAGCACUCUCAUACCCCUAGAACAAGAUGAACAAAAGAAGGAGGAAAAAUCUUGACCUCCGUAAGAUCCAGGAUGGCACGUGCAAGGCACUGACACAGCAUCUGCCGGCAUCACUGACUCUCCUGGACCCCAGAAGCCCAGUUCCCCAGGCUCUGAAACCCUGCAGCAAUGAAAAGGAAGCACAGGCAAACCAUAAGGAAGAUAAUUUUUCUACUAAAAAAUAAAUAGAAAUGCAUCCUUAGAGGCAGGUUUCAUGAGGACACAGAGAAUCCGGUUUUGUGUGUGCCUGAUUUCGUUUUUCUGUCAAAGAGAUACAAAACAAUCAACUGAGUUAUCUUGAACUUACAAAGAUUAAAAAUAAUCAAUUCCUGUUACUAUUUUCAAUUUUUCCCCCAUUUUACUUCUUUAGGUAUGAAGAAAUGUAGCCUAUUAAAACCUGGAUUAAUAAAAACCUUUCAUUAACUUUUAGAA